Molecule: small RNA, 714 nt
Filed under: Pan troglodytes (chimpanzee)
Lineage: Eukaryota; Metazoa; Chordata; Mammalia; Primates; Hominidae
Description: processed transcript
Source: RNAcentral
AGGUAAUACAUAUAAUAUUCCAAUAUGCCUAUGGCUACUGGACACAUACCCAUAUAAUCCCCCUAUCUGUUUUGUUAAGCCUACUAGUUCAAUGACUAUUAAAACAGGAAAGCAUGUUGAUGCAAAUGGGAAGAUAUAUCUUCCUUAUCUACAUGAAUGGAAACACCCACAGUCAGACUUGUUGGGGCUUAUUCAGGUCAUGAUUGUGGUAUUUGGAGAUGAACCUCCAGUCUUCUCUCGUCCUAUUUCGGCAUCCUAUCCGCCAUACCAGGCAACGGGGCCACCAAAUACUUCCUACAUGCCAGGCAUGCCAGGUGGAAUCUCUCCAUACCCAUCCGGAUACCCUCCCAAUCCCAGUGGUUACCCAGGCUGUCCUUACCCACCUGGUGGUCCAUAUCCUGCCACAACAAGUUCUCAGUACCCUUCUCAGCCUCCUGUGACCACUGUUGGAGCUGCUGCUACCGUCGCUGCAGCCACGGCAGGCACUGCCACCGCUGCCAGAGGAGUGGGCUUGGGAAGGAAGUGGUCACCUCACUUGGAGCUUUGCUCAGAAGCAUCCUCGUCCCCUGCAGCCCUCCCACGGGAAUGACUGGAUAAAAGUGAGCUGGUACAGAAAGCCAACUCACUGAGCAGGCUGAGCGCUAUGAUGAUAUGGCUGUAGUCACGAAGGCAGUCACAGAACGAGGCAUGAAUUCUCCAACGAAGAGAGAAAUC